CACAAGAGUCCAGAUUAGGUGCCUGACAGCAAAAAGAAACCAAACACUCCAAUUCAAAAGGGCAAAAGAAGCAGGAGCUAAUGAAGAAAGAGCAUGGACAGGGAGUCAGAAUAAGAACUUCUACGGUCACAGUCACCAAAACAUUAUAUGUCCCUCUUCCCUUCCUCCCAUAUGUAGCUUAUAAACAACUUAAAGGCAUAUGAUAAUGUCAAGACCUUCAAAGGAAAUUCUUAUUUUUCUAAUGGUAAUGAUUCUGUUUUUUUUUUUUUUUACAAUUUUCUUUCAAAAUCUUUAAAUGGUGAUAUUUAUACAAUAUUUAUAUCUGAAGCAGCACAUUAUUGAACCUAUGAGCUUAUAUACACUUAGCACAGGGUUGUAAGUUUGAAGACCAAAAAUAUAGGAGUACUAACAGUAAAGGAUGGUGUAUUUUCUAAAAUUAACUGGUUAGUGGAAAUGUAAUCAUUCAUUAAGCAGUUAUUGUAUACUAGGUACUAACUGGAGGGAUGAGAGGUGAACAAGACAGGCAAUGCUCCUGCUUCAAAAGACCCCAAUCGCUCUGUCUCUAAAUGACUUUCUUUGUCUAUAAAACAGAUAAGAAAAAGUACUUCCUUACUUGAGUUACUGUGAGUCUCAGACAUUCUUUUGGACAAAUUAAAAAAUAUGAAAUGUGGGGUAAGGCAAUUAUAUUUCUGGUGUCUGUUUCAAUUACAGCCAAGUCAUAGACGUACAAACAAAUCUUGCAAGUAAAGAGUUUCAGAAAAUAGCUUCUUUAACAGAGUAAGAUCUUGAUGUGGGAUAAAUAUUCAAUUUUCCGUAAAUAUUUAAGUUUUUCAAGAUUUAUUUUCCAUAAAUCUUCAAGUUAACAUAUGAUGUUAAUGACAAUAUUUCAUUAAAAUCAAUCAAUAAAAAGAAAAGAAUACAUAUGUAUUCAUAGAUAUGUACAUAUACAUAUAUGAGUGUGUGUGUAUUUAGGGAGAAAACUCUUUUGGAGAGCAAUAAAUCUUAACUAACUGUGGGCAUCAGGCAACCCUUUUCAAUUCUGCCAGAGACUGGAUAUGUUGCCCCCAAAUUCAUAUGUUCAAGCACUAACCUCCGGUGUGAUGGUAUUUGGAGGUGGAAAUUUUAGGUGGUAAUUGGGUCAUAAGUGUGGAGCCCUCAUGAAUGGGAUCAGUGCCCUUAUAAGAAGAGACACGAGAGAGAUGGUCUCUCUCUCAGCAGACACUGAAUCUGAGAAUUCAGAAAGAAAAUGUCCAUUGCAAACUAGGAUGACCACUCUCAUCAGACACGGAAUCUGCUGGGACCCUGAUCUUGCACUUUCCAGGCUUCAGAACUAUGAGAAAUAACUGUCUGUUGUUUAGGCCAUCCAAUCUAUGGUCUUUGUUUUAGUAACCUGAGCUAAGAUAGUAAUUGGCUAUGAAGAAUGUGGUAACAAAUACCUGAAAAUGGGAAAGUGGCUUUGGAAUGGCAUGAAAGGUAAAGGCUGGGCAAGUUUGGAGAUUCGUGCCAGAGAAAGCCAAGAUUAUCAUGAAGGUGAUUCUGGUGAGGAUGCAGAAAGAAAAGAAGAAAUCUGUUGAGAAAUCUUCUGUCUUCUUAGAGAAUGAGUAAAUUAUCAUGAACAGAAUGUGGCAGGUAAAGGACAUUCUGGUGAAGCCUCAGAAGGAAAUGCUGAACAUAUUAUUGGACAAUGGAGAAAAGGUAAUUCUUGUGAUAAAAUGGCAAAUAUCUUGGCUGAAUUUAUGUUUGUGUUCUAGUGUUUCAUGCAAGGUAAAACUUGCAAGUGAUGGAUUUUAACUGAGGGGCUAUCUAAACAAAAAGUUCAAGGAGUGACUUGGUUUCUCCUGGUUUCUAAUGGCAUAAUUUGAGAAAAGACAAAUGAAUUGAAGAUGAAAUUUUUCAUCAAAAAGGAACAAGAACUUGAAGAUUCAGAAAAUUAUCUUCCUGUCCAUAUUACAAAAUAUGAGAAAGCAUGCUUGGAAGAGAACACUAAGCAUGUGGUGGACCAACCAUUUGAUAAAGAGACUAGUGUAGGUGUGAAAUAGAGACCUAAUCAGCUACUGUAGCAGAAACACUGCCCAUUUAAACUGAAGUGAAUGGUGACAGGAUGGAAUAGAGGAAGGCGGUUGACCUUCCUGAAUUUUAUAGGAAAGACCCCAGAACUAUUCUUCAGGACUAGGGAAGAAUGACUCAGAGUUCAUCAAGUUUUCCUCCUCAUUUUCAAAAGUUAGGACAUCACCUUGGUUUCAACAGGCUAGACCACUUCUACCUAAACUCUGGGGCAGGGCCACCUGGAGCCUUGAGGGUAGUACCUGCACUUGGCAGAGCUUCAGGUGCAGGACCUUCACCCCAGUGGGUCUGAUAGGAAGAGCACUGAGCCAAAGAGGAUUAUUCUUGAGCCUUAAAAUCUAGUAGAAUUUGCCUUAGUAGGUUUUGGAAUUGCUUGGGACACAUCAUCCCUUCCUUCUCUACCAUUUUUGGAAUGGGAAUGUCUAAGCUAGAUCUAUCUUAUCAUUGUGUUUUGGAAACACAUUUCUUGUUUGGUUUCAUGGAUUCACAGGUGGAGAGAAAUUUUGCCUCAGGACAAAUUCUACCUUGAGUCUCACCCAUAUCUGGUUCAUAUAUUUAGAAUUUAGAUGAGACUUUGGACUUUACUUAUUUUUUAAUUUAAUUUUAUUUUUUUGCUUUUUAGGGCCACACCUAUGGCAUAUGUAAGUUCCCAGGUUAGGUGUUGAAUUAGAGAUGCAGCUGCUGGCCUACAUCAUAGACACAGCAAUUCAGGAUCCCAGCCGCUUCUGUGACCUACACUGCAGCUCACAACAACACCAGAUACUUAAUCCACUGAGCAAGGCCAGGGAUCAAACCCACAUCCUCAUGGAUGCUAAUUGGAUUCAUUACCACUGAGCCAUGAUGGAAACUCCAAGACUUUGGACUUUAGAGUUCAUGGUAGAAUGAAUUAAGACUUUGCAUGUUUGUGGAUGAAUUGACCAUAUUUUGCAUAUGAGAAGGACACAUAUUUUGAGGGGCCAAGAAUAGCAUGCUAUCAACUGAGUGUUUGUGUCCCUCCAAAAUUCAUGUGUUAAAGUCCUAAUUCUCAGUGGGAAGGUAUUUGUAGGGGGGCCUUGGGAGGUUAUUAGAUUAUGAAUAUGGCCAUGGUUGAAGACAGCCCAUUGCAAGCCAGGAAGCAGGAUUUCAUCAGACACCAAAUUUGCCAGCACCUCAAUCCUAAACUUCCCAAUCUCCAGGACUGUAAAAAAUAAAUGUUGCCUAAGACACCCAGUCUACAAUAAUUUGUUAGAGUAGCUAGAACUAAGACAAAUGUGCGGAAACACUAUGAAUGAAAGCUUGAAUAUGAAUGAUUACAAAAGCAGAAAAUAAACAAAGGGUAGAAAUGAAGUCAUUUGCCUGUAACGUAGAAACAAAGUAGAGAUUUCCUUGACCCUUUGCACAUUUUCCCACUCCCACCCCACCGAGUUUUAAAUUCAGUUUCUUGGUGUCCAUUAGGGUAAGGGAAGGAAAUAAUAUAUGAUUUGAGAACACUUUAGAAGUUGCAGCUGAAUAAGUUUUUAAAAAAAUGAACCAUUGAAAACAUGCCUGUUGACCAUGAUUUUAAAAUUCAUGCCUGACUUUCAGAAGACAAGGUAAAAAAAAUAACACAAGGCAAUUCAAUACUAUAGAACACAAAGGAGUCUGACUUGACUGCAUGAGCUUUGGUCAAAUUCGACUUAAUCGUCACAGAUUAGGAAAUACUUAAGCUCUUUCUUUUCACUUCCCUUUUCUCUAUGUCAUGAGGACUCAACAGCCCCAGCUGAUAGCGUCAUGGAGGUGCUGACAGGCGCCCAACCGUGGUGUGAUUAACUCAGCGUGCUGCUGCAAUUAGCCCAUCAAAGUUGUCUGGGGACUAGCGUUUCUACGAGGGUCACAAGGCAAAAAUGACCUGGCCUGUCAGUCCUUGUCUGGCUGGGGCCCAGUGCUAGCAUGGGGGAUGUCACAAAGCAAGUGGUCAUUGCGUCUUUAAGCAAUGAGAAUAAACAGGUCUCUGCUUGUGAAACUGAGCACAUAUUAAGCUAAGCCAUCCAGUACUUGACUUUGAGCAAGGCUCCCUUUCCUGUGUAUGUUCAUUUUAUUUUAUGGCCAUGUAAAAGCAACUCCAUGGCGCUGGCUGCAGUGGGAAAAUCAACAACAACACUAUAGAACAACCCACAAGCAAAAGCGGCCCCGAAAGAAAACAUCAGGAGAAAAAUAUGGAGGCAGAUCUCCCAAUCACCCUGGCAAGUAUUGGCCGUGUCAAACGUGAGAAUAAUUGAUUUUGACAUAGAGGAAAGUAGUAAUUGGAAUGAAACUUGUUUGAAUAACAGCUUAAAUGUUUCUUUCCUUGCUUUCCAGAUUACAUGCACUGUAAAGCUGGAUUUCUUUCUCCUGGCUAGUUCACAGAGGACAUUCUGUGUCCAGGGGGCUUGUGAAAUGAGGGGGAAAAAAAACUUGUGAAAUUUGCCUCUUUUUGGAUGACUUUUGGGCCCGGAUUCUAGGGUCACAUAUACAGUGUGCUGAUACUCCAUCCCAAAUCUUGCCUGUUACGAGCAUCCCACACAGACCAUUAUUAAGAUAAUGAAAGGCUGGACAGUGCCUGGGGGAGGGUGCUUCAUCCACUCCACUGGUUCAAAAACUGAAGUUAGAAUUUUUUCUAGUCUUCUUCCUUUUCACUGCUUUCCAGUUACAAUGAGUACAACGAACUGGAAGUUUAUGGCGCCCAUACCUUCACAUAUUGAAAUUCUACCCACCAAUGGGAUCGUGUUAAGAGUGUUAAGAGGUGGGGGCUUUGGGGAGGUGAUUGGGUCAUGCGCGCAGAGACAUCGUGAGUGAGAUUAGUAUCCUUAUAACAGAGACCCCAGAAGGAUCCCUCACCCCUUCCUCCGUAUGACUGGUACUGAGUCCAGAUUGUCCUACUUGCAUCACGACAGGCCAGUACAUAGGAAGAUGAACUGUUGGGGGAAAAAAAUGAUGACCGCAUUCAGAAAGCCAGUAGACUGAGGAGACGGCAGAUUCAUGUCUCAAAGAACCAUCUUACCCCAGUCAGAAUUCAGGCUCCUUUUAUAUAUAUAUAAAAGGUGGAUGAGUGGGUGUUUGUUGUAAACUUUUUGGUGUAGGUAUCCUUUGUUCUUACAGCUGUCCACGUAGGUCAGGUCGUGAUGCUCCAAUAAACCUCCUACAAAACCAGUGCUAGUCUCUGUUCUGCAACUUUUUAUCCCUAUAUGUAUGGACUCUUACGGUUCAGAGCCCUGAGAAUAGGCUGUCCUGUAUAUUUCAGUCUAUAGGCAACAUUCUUUUACAAAAGAUACAGAGCCAGUGUGACCAAGGAUAGGCCACAGAGCACAAAGGCUAAAGUAAAAGAAACAGAUCUAAUAAGGAGUCUGGUCUGUCCCAAAGGUUUGGCUAUGAGUAUUAAGAAUCCAUCCAGAGCUGGUAGAUGCAAACUAUUCCAUUUAGAAUGGAUAAGCAAUGAGGUCCUACUGUACAGCACAGAGAAGCUGUAUCCAUUCUCUUGGGAUAGAACAUGAUGGAAGAUAGUAUGAGAAAGAGAAUGUACAUAUUUGUAUGCCUGGGUCACCUUGCUGUACAGCAGAAAUUGACACAACACUGUAAAUCAAUUAUACUCUAAUCAAAACAAAACUAUUUGGAUCUCACCAUUUAUUGGGGGGGGGGAAUCUAAUACCAUCAAUCUGGCUCAUCUUAAGUUAAAGGCAUCUGCAUUUAUUUCUAGUGGCAGAAAAUUGAGGGAUAGUUUUCUAGUUUAUAUUAUAACCAACCAAAGCAGCAUUUUAAACUCUUUAAGAGUGGGUUGUCUCUCGGCCAAGAAUUAGGAGAUGCUUGUUACUAGUAAAAUCGCUUCUGACAUAUCCAAGACAACUCAGCCAGCAAGGGGGAUAUUAGAGGAGAUGACAAGCGAUUUUAACACCAACUGACAUCAUGUCCUGGCAUGUCAUGGUGAUGUCCGGAAGACAUCAUUCUUGCCGCUUAAAAUAUCUUGGUAAGAAAAAAAAUGCAGGGUGACUAAAGCGAUUUUUUUCUACCUGUAUGGAAUAUUGCUUGCCCUUUAGAUGUUAGUUCAAAGUGUGUUUUGAGAUAUUAUUUGAUCUAAUCAAAAUGAUUACAGGCCUAUCCUUUCAGAGCUGAAAUGAAAAUAAAAACAACUUUUAUUUGGACACAUCGAUGUGCCACAUAUAUUCACAUUUAUCGACUUCCUUUGUGCUCAUAGCCUCAAUGUGAUUUCAGUGGUAAAUAAAAACUCAGAGAUGCUAAGGCACUGGUCUGGUAUCACAUAGCUAGACAGUGACGGAGUCAGGACUUGGACUCAAUUUUGGUCCUCCAAGUUCAUUGGUCUUGUAACUGUGACACAUUUCCUUAGAGAUCAUCUCCUUCCUCUUCCAUUUUCGAGAUAAAAUAUUACGGUCUGCAGAGGCAAAUGCCUUUCGAAUCGUCUCCCAAGUGCCAGGCACACUGCCUUCAGAGACAUCUGGCUCACUAGCCUCGAAAUGAAGCUCAGUUCCUGUUAACAAGGUAGUUGUUUAUGGGCUCCAGCCCUCCUCUGCAAAGG
Molecule: long non-coding RNA, 6589 nt
Filed under: Sus scrofa (pig)
Lineage: Eukaryota; Metazoa; Chordata; Mammalia; Artiodactyla; Suidae
Description: lncRNA (ENSSSCG00065005059.1)
Source: RNAcentral